RNAcentral lists this non-coding RNA (26 nucleotides) under Mus musculus (house mouse). Lineage: Eukaryota; Metazoa; Chordata; Mammalia; Rodentia; Muridae. The record is from RNAcentral.
UGUAGCCUUCAUGUUUCCUAUUAGCA